Molecule: transfer RNA, 73 nt
Filed under: Muribaculaceae bacterium
Lineage: Bacteria; Pseudomonadati; Bacteroidota; Bacteroidia; Bacteroidales; Muribaculaceae
Description: tRNA-Gly
Rfam family: tRNA
About the family: Transfer RNA (tRNA) molecules are approximately 80 nucleotides in length.
Source: RNAcentral
GCGAUAGUAGCUCAGUUGGUAGAGCAUCAGCUUCCCAAGCUGAGGGUCGCGGGUUCGAACCCCGUCUAUCGCU